This 25-nucleotide non-coding RNA is filed under the name Rattus norvegicus (Norway rat). Lineage: Eukaryota; Metazoa; Chordata; Mammalia; Rodentia; Muridae. The record is from RNAcentral.
UGCUUCGACCCAGGCAGAGGAGAGC